GUGCCAGCAGCCGCGGUAAUACGUAGGGGGCUAGCGUUAUCCGGAAUUACUGGGCGUAAAGGGUGCGUAGGUGGUUUCUUAAGUCAGAGGUGAAAGGCUACGGCUCAACCGUAGUAAGCCUUUGAAACUGAGAAACUUGAGUGCAGGAGAGGAGAGUAGAAUUCCUAGUGUAGCGGUGAAAUGCGUAGAUAUUAGGAGGAAUACCAGUUGCGAAGGCGGCUCUCUGGACUGUAACUGACACUGAGGCACGAAAGCGUGGGGAGCAAACAGGAUUAGAAACCCCAGUAGUCC
Molecule: ribosomal RNA, 291 nt
Filed under: uncultured prokaryote
Description: partial 16S ribosomal RNA
Rfam family: Bacterial small subunit ribosomal RNA
Source: RNAcentral